This 492-nucleotide ribosomal RNA is filed under the name Klebsiella pneumoniae. RNAcentral's name for it is "partial 23S ribosomal RNA". It matches the Rfam family "Bacterial large subunit ribosomal RNA", at positions 911 to 1400 of the family's 2925-position model. The record is from RNAcentral. Lineage: Bacteria; Pseudomonadati; Pseudomonadota; Gammaproteobacteria; Enterobacterales; Enterobacteriaceae.
UGUUUCGGCUAGGGGGUCAUCCCGACUUACCAACCCGAUGCAAACUACGAAUACCGAAGAAUGUUAUCACGGGAGACACACGGCGGGUGCUAACGUCCGUCGUGAAGAGGGAAACAACCCAGACCGCCAGCUAAGGUCCCAAAGUCAUGGUUAAGUGGGAAACGAUGUGGGAAGGCACAGACAGCCAGGAUGUUGGCUUAGAAGCAGCCAUCAUUUAAAGAAAGCGUAAUAGCUCACUGGUCGAGUCGGCCUGCGCGGAAGAUGUAACGGGGCUAAACCAUGCACCGAAGCUGCGGCAGCGACACUAUGUGUUGUUGGGUAGGGGAGCGUUCUGUAAGCCUGCGAAGGUGACCUGUGAGGGUUGCUGGAGGUAUCAGAAGUGCGAAUGCUGACAUAAGUAACGAUAAAGCGGGUGAAAAGCCCGCUCGCCGGAAGACCAAGGGUUCCUGUCCAACGUUAAUCGGGGCAGGGUGAGUCGACCCCUAAGGCGAG